RNAcentral lists this ribosomal RNA (486 nucleotides) under uncultured bacterium. RNAcentral's name for it is "partial 16S ribosomal RNA". It matches the Rfam family "Bacterial small subunit ribosomal RNA", at positions 899 to 1397 of the family's 1533-position model. The record is from RNAcentral.
ACUCAAAUGAAUUGACGGGGGCUCGCACAAGCGGUGGAUCAUGAGGCUUAAUUCGUCGCUAAGCGAAAAACCUUACCAAGGCUAGAAACCAUACUGCAUUCCUAGUGAAAGCUAGGAAGCCUUCGAGGGUGUAUGGCAGGUGAUGCAUGGCCGUCGUCAGUUCGUGGCUUGAGCUGUUCCCUUAAGUGGGGAAACGAACGCAACCCUCGUUGCCUGUUACAAGUGUCAGGCGAGACUGCUCCCUCACGGGAGAGGAAGGUGAGGAUGACGCCAGGUCAGCAUGUCCCUAGAUGCCUUGGGCUGCACUCGUGAUACAAUGGUUGGUACAACAGGACGCAAUACCGUAAGGUGGAGCAAAUCCUUAUAAAACCAAUCUCAAUUCGGAUUGAGGUCUGCAACUCGACCUCAUGAAGUCGGAAUCGCUAGUAAUCGCGGAUCAGCAUUGCCGCGGUGAAUACGUUCCCGAGCCUUGUACACACCGCCCGU